This 468-nucleotide ribosomal RNA is filed under the name uncultured bacterium. RNAcentral's name for it is "partial 16S ribosomal RNA". It matches the Rfam family "Bacterial small subunit ribosomal RNA", at positions 28 to 507 of the family's 1533-position model. The record is from RNAcentral.
GACGAACGCUGGCGGCGUGCUUAACACAUGCCAGUCGAACGGAAAGGCCCGGCUUUUGUGGGGUGCUCGAGUGGCGAACGGGUGAGUAACACGUGAGUAACCUGCCCUUGACUUUGGGAUAACUUCAGGAAACUGGGGCUAAUACCGGAUAGGAGCUCCUGCAGCAUGGUGGGGGUUGGAAAGUUCCGGCGGUUGGGGAUGGACUCGCGGCUUAUCAGCUUGUUGGGGGGGUAGUGGCUUACCAAGGCUUUGACGGGUAGCCGGCCUGAGAGGGUGACCGGCCACAUUGGGACUGAGAGACGGCGCAGACUCCUACGGGAGGCAGCAGUGGGGAAUAUUGCACAAUGGGCGGAAGCCUGAUGCAGCAACGCCGCGUGCGGGAUGACGGCCUUCGGGUUGUAAACCGCUUUCGCCUGUGACGAAGCGUGAGUGACGGUAAUGGGUAAAGAAGCACCGGCUAACUACGUG